This 368-nucleotide ribosomal RNA is filed under the name uncultured organism. RNAcentral's name for it is "bacterial SSU rRNA". It matches the Rfam family "Bacterial small subunit ribosomal RNA", at positions 526 to 896 of the family's 1533-position model. The record is from RNAcentral.
CGGAGGGUGCAAGCGUUAUCCGGAUUCACUGGGUUUAAAGGGAGCGCAGGCGGACUGGUAAGUCAGUGGUGAAAUACCUGAGCUUAACUCGGGAACUGCCAUUGAUACUAUCAGUCUUGAAUGUUGUUGAGGUUUGCGGAAUGGGUCAUGUAGCGGUGAAAUGCAUAGAUAUGACCCGGAACACCUAUUGCGAAGGCAGCAGGCUAAACAAAUAUUGACGCUGAGGCUCGAAAGCGUGGGGAUCAAACAGGAUUAGAUACCCUGGCAGUCCACGCCCUAAACGAUGAUUACUCGACAUACGCGAUACACUGUGUGUGUCUGAGCGAAAGCAUUAAGUAAUCCACCUGGGAAGUACGACCGCAAGGUUG